GGCACGCGGCAGUUCCUGAGCUUCGCGCCCCGAUGCUGGUGACGGGUGUGUCCAGUUGACGCGCCCGGGAUUAAGCUCCCUAGGAUCGGGCCUGCUUAGACCCCUCCCCCUCCAGCUGAGUGGGGCGAAUCGCCGCGGGAGUGGUUGCGCCCUGGGGGUGUCUCUAGCUUUCUUGGGUCAGCAGAGCAAGGAAGAACCAGGCCUGCAAUGAGUCAGAGAAGUAAAGAAGACAAACUAUAAGAAGAGAGCUGCCACUCCUGUCCAGAAUUUGCCGAGAGAUCAUUCGGUGUCAUUCUUUCAGCAUGGAUUACAGUGUUGUGAUGCACUUCAGAAAAUCUACUGACAUUGCUGCAUUGUGUGGAACAUCUGCCCUUUUCUUUCAAAUAUAGAUCUCACUGACAAAGGCACAAUUAAUGUAAACUUCUUCCUGUAAUGACUGGGAUCCCUUUGGAAUUGAUCCAGGGACUGUUGUAUGUAGAAUAUUGCUGUCUAGGUAUUCUUUUGUGUGUAAGGUGAAGGGAAACAAUAACACCCAUUCUCCAUGGGCUGUCCUGGUUGCAGAAAAAAUUGUGGAUUCAAUUCAACAUCUCAUUGAAGUAAUCCUUUUUCUGGGCCCAAGGUGUAUAGCUGUGCCUAUUCCUAUUGCCCUCCAAGCCUGCUGUUCUUAACUUUAAGGGCUUUCACAACUGUGCCCCUCCUUACUUGUCUGCUCUUAUAUCUUGUGUCCUUUCCCUGCUUCACCAGUGAUGACAGAUUUGACCCCUUGUUUGUCUCCAUCUCAAACAAAUAAUUUUAUACUUUAACCUCUAUCCCUUAUGCAUGCAACAGUCUCACAGAACUAGUCUGUAAAGCCCCAGCCCUCUCCCCAUUUAAAUCCCUCCCCAAGACUUAUUUCUACCAUGAUGGCUACCGGAAAUUGCCAGAUGAUAAUCACUAGGUGGAUGCCAGUGGGGAUUGCUGAUAUUUAUUUAUAAAACAUUUUAAAACACAUGUAUAUGAUUUGGAACAUCAAGUUAAGCACAUAAUUAAGAACCUGUGUUGUCCACAAGCUAGCUAAUAUGCUCAUCCUCCCUCCGCCUCUGUUUCUUACAUGUGUGUCUUGUCAAAUUAAAUUGUAAGCUCUCCAGGGAAAGGGCUGUACACACAUAAUACCAGGCAUGUGUCCUUGUACAGGAUUCUGAGCCUGGUGGUUAGAAUAUUCACCAAGGAUGUGGGAGACCCAGUUCCCAUGUUCCAGUGAUGAUGUAAUUAUUUAUUUACAGUGCAGCAAUUUCAACAGGAGAGACUGAGGGAGCACUGCAUCAGAAUAGCCCAUAGCCCAGUGAUUAGAGUACACACCUGAGAGGUGGCAGAUCCCUCUUCAAAUCCCUUUUCCUGCUCAGGCACAGGGGGGACUUGAAUGCAGGGUCUCCCACAUCUCAGGUGAGUACCCUAACUGCUGGGCUAAAAGUCCUUCACACACCCAGUUGGCAUCUUCCAUUGGCUAGCUUAGACAGAUCCCUGCCUAGCAUGAUUUUGUGAAUCGUUCCAAGGUGCCAGUCUUUCCCCAUGCAUUGUAUAGGGAGCCUAAGAGCUUAACUUAGGGUUUGUGAAUUCCAGUGAUUUUCUAGACAUCUAAAAGUUAGGUGCUGUGACACUCAGCGCUGCAAUGCCUAACUCCUUUUGUGCAUCCUGGCCUCUGCGACUGUCUUCAAGACUUGUUAGGAUCUGUUCGCCUUUGAUGGCUUGGCCUCCUUUUUUGCAUUUCUUUUUUGGCUUGGCUUUUGUUUUUGAUGACAGAUUGGCUUGUUCUUUCUGGGCCACUGGAGGCAGUUCUCUGUUUUGUCAUCAUUAUCCUAGCCUGUGUAAGAGGGCCAGUGAUGUGAUGAGCACCAUACAAAUAAAACCAAACCUCUGAUUUUUAUGAUAAUCAAGUUGUACUAGUUAAUGGUGUUAAAUGAGGACAUUGCAAUUACAUGCAGUGGAUAUAUAGUAUUCCCUUCUAUAGACGAUUUAAGCUUUUAUUAGUUCAAAACUCUAAUGAGGCCUACAGAAUAAAACAACCCAAAGCAGUAUGUUGAUGUCAGACAC
This is a long non-coding RNA of Malaclemys terrapin pileata, 2070 nucleotides long. RefSeq lists it as uncharacterized. Lineage: Eukaryota; Metazoa; Chordata; Testudines; Emydidae. The transcript is spliced from 3 exons. The record is from RefSeq and is a predicted model, not a curated record.